Long non-coding RNA from Orcinus orca (killer whale), 5674 nucleotides. RefSeq lists it as uncharacterized. The transcript is spliced from 3 exons. NCBI's taxonomy places the organism in Eukaryota, Metazoa, Chordata, Mammalia, Artiodactyla, Delphinidae. The record is from RefSeq and is a predicted model, not a curated record.
GGUGUCCCUUCCGCACGUCACAUCCUCAGCCCGCCGGUCAUACGGGAGCCGCGUGGGCUUUUUACGGAAGGACGUGCGGGUCCCUCUUCACCCGCCCCGCGCUCCUUCCCCCCGCGAGGGGCGGCGCCAGUGAGCGCGGCCCGGGAGCGCGGGUGUCACCUCCAGCGCCCGGCGCGCCACCCGUCCUCACCCCUCCCUCCCGGCGGGCCCCGAGUCCCAGGAGCCCCGUGCAGGGCCCCUCCCCCUCGAGCAGGUGGUCGGCCCCGCAAAAGCCAGUCGGCCGACGGACAAGUCGGUGCAAAUUCAGGGAACGUUGUUAAACUAUUGGGUUUUUUCCCCCCAGUUUCAGGCACUGAACAGCCAGCAGAUUUAAGAAAUCUGGAUGACGAUGUGGAUACAGGAUUUGAUGAAAUUCUGGUCCGAGAGAUGUUGGAGCCAAAUAAAUCAUCAUUUCUUGAAACACAAAGACUCCCACCAACAUCAACAAAGACUCCGACAAAGAAAAAAAGCAAGUACACAUUUCUUAAAGCCUAAUUACAUGUGUUCCUAGAGGUCUGUGGUACAUAUGCACAAUCCCAUCAUGGUCGCAUUCUUUGAGGCCAGCUACUUCUGGGGCAAAAGCAGAUGGAGAUGUGGAUGAAACAGUCGUCCCAAACAUCUGCUGUAAUCUUCCCUAGACUGGGGAGGUCACACCUAGACAGGCAGAGACAAGUCCCUUUAUCCCGGCUGGUCUCUGGGUGCACGUGCAAGAAGGGCCUCGUGCUUGGGAUGCAGGUGGGGUUUAGCCACUGCGGGAACCCGGGGCGUACGGAAAUAGGAGCUUUCGACCACCCAGCACGUUUGAUGCUCACCUAAACCUCUGAGAGCAGGGCAGUGACUACGACCCCAUCCGACAGGGGAUAAAAGUAAGGUCUGGAAGAGGACUGGCCCGAGGCCCCAGAGCUAGUAGUGAACAAAACAAUGUGCUUUCCCAAAGUGCAGCUUCCUGUGGUCCAAAUGCAUACAGAUAAGUCAAAUAGCACCCUGAGACCCAAGACGGAGCAUUUGACCCUUGCUCAGGAGAGAGCAGCAUGGCAGAAAUCUACACGCAGCGCGUGAAAACGCAUUCAGCAGCAGGGACGUUCAGCAUUUUCUUGAAAUUUUACAUCCAGAUGGAAGUUCCAAUAGCUCAUGGAACAUCUGCUAAACAGCUGGGUUCAAGGAGGUCAGAUGAAGCCUGACUGUUUACAUACUAGGUGGCCAGAGCACGUUUUCAGUAGAAGUUGAAAACUGUGUUAGCAUCCCAAGCUAAUGCUUUAAAGUACAGUAUGGAUGAAAACUUUCGCGGGAGUGUACAUUUAUGUUUUCCCUCAUUUUUUUCCCAUGCUGUUCAUCAAAGAUGCAGACCUUGAUGAGAGCUAUCAAGUUGGUGGUCCUGAGGGCUACCGUGAGCUCUCAGAUAUUUCAUCAUUAUCUCCGGACCCUGAGGACGAAAUUCUCAAUAACGGCUCCGGACCCGCAGACUCAGCGGCCAUGGCUCACGGGCCCAGCUGCUCCGCGGCAUGUGGGAUCCUCCUGGACCGGGGCACGAACCCGUGUCCCCUGCAUCAGCAGGCGGACUCUCAACCACUGCGCCACCAGGGAAGCCCCUCCAGGGUAAAUUCUUAGAACUGGGAUGGCGGGAUCAAAAAAUGAGUGACUAUGUAAUCUGAAUAGUCAGAUAAUUCUAUAUUUACACAAUAACUUUCCAAAAUGCUUUCCAAUAAAAUUUGAAAAUAACAUGAGUGUUUCAACCCAGCCUUUUAAAAUAAAGUGUGAGCUGAAAUGUUCAUAAGUAUGUAAUCAAAUGCUCCCCCAUGUUUUCUAUGUUCUUCAUCCAAGAACCCCAAAUUGAUGAGAGUUACCAAGUCUGUGGUCCCGAGGUUUACCAUGGAUCACAGCUCUCCUCUGGCCUUGAAGACAGGUCUUGCAACAAUGGUAAAUGUAACCUGGUGACUACCCCGGCCGGCAUCCGCGUGCAGUGGAGGGACGGGGCGUGGGCAUCGAGCAUGGCUGGGACAGCAGCCUCACCCUCAGUGUGUGCUCACACUUGUAAAUUAUCACCAAUCUGAUGGGGGAGGAGGGUGUUUCUGUCUUGUUUUAAUUUGCAAUUUUCUAAUUAUGAGUGAGUCUGAACAUCUCAUAUUUUAAAGGCCAUUUCUUUUAUCAUUUCAAAAUCUUUCCUUUUAUCCUUUCCCUUCAGUCUUUUUUCAAGGCUUAUUUUUAAAAUAUAGUUGGAAACAUACAACAUAAAUUCUGUACCUUGCUUCUUUAUGUAAUAUGAUAAUGAUUUUCUUUUUUUCUUCCAGUUUUAUUGAGAUAGAAUUGAUACGCAGCACUGUGUACGUUUCAGGUGUAGAGCAUGAUGACUUGAGUUACAUACAUCACGAAAUAAUGAUCACAAUAAUUUCACUGAACAUCAUCUCAUUUAGAUACAAAAUUAAAGGAAUAGGAAAAUAUAAUUUUCCUUGCGAUGAGGACUCAGGACUUAUUGUCUUCACAACUUUCAUACAUAACUUGCAGCAGGGUUAAUUACAUUUAUCAUGUCGUACAUUACAUCCCUAGUACUAAUUUAGCUUAUGACUGAAAGUUUUUACCAUUUGACCACCUUCACCCCAUUCCCCUCCUCCUUAGCCCUGGUAACCACAGGUCUGAUCUCUUUAUCUAUGAGUUUGUUUGUUUGUUUUUGAACUAUAAUUGACCUACAACACUACGUUAGUUCCUGUUACACAACACAGUGAAUCAGUAUUUCUAUACCUUUCAAAAUGAUCGUCACAAUAAGUCUAGUUAUGAUCUGUCACCACACAAAGGUAUUACAUAAUCGUUGACUAUAUUCCCCACACUGUACAUUUCAUACCUGUUACUCAUUUAGUUUGCAACUGGAAGUUUCUACCUCUUAAUCUUCCUCAACUAUUUCUUUUUUCUUAUUAUUGAAGUAUAGUUGAUCUACAAUGUUGUGUUAGUUUAUGGUGUACAGCAAAGUGAUUCAUUUAGAUAGCUAGCUAGCUAGCUAACUAAAUAAAUAAAUAGAUAUACAUAUAUAUAUAUUCAUUUUCAGAUUCUUUUCCAUUAUAGGUUAUUACAAGAUAUUGAAUAUAGUUCCCUGUGCUGUACAGUAGGUCCUUGUUGUUUAUCUAUUUUAUACACAGUGGUGCAUAUCUGUUAAUCACAAACUCCUUAUUUAUCCCUCCCCCUCCCUUUCCCCUUUGUUAACCAUAAGUUUGUUUUCUAUGUCUGGGAGUCUGUUUCUGUUUUGUAAAUAAGUUCGUUUGUAUCAUUUUUUUUAGAUUCCACAUACAAGCGAUAUCAUAUUUUUCUCUGACUUACUUCACUCAGUAUGAUAAUUUCUAGGUCCAUCCACGUUGCUGCAAAUGGCAUUAUUUCAUUCUUUUUUAUGGCUGAGUAAUAUUCCAUGUAUAUAUGUACCACAUCUUCUUUAUCCAUUCCUCUGUCCAGUGGACAUUUAGGUUGCUGCCAUGUCUUGGCUAUUGUCAAUAGUGCUGCAAUGAAUAUAGGGGUGCGUGUGCCUUCUCAAACUGGAGUUUUCUCCAAAUACAUGCCCAGGUGUGGGAUUGCUGGAUCAUUUGGUAGCUCUAUUUUUAGUUUUUCAAAGAACCUCCAUACUAUUCUCCACAGUGGCUGCUGUAAUAUUUAUGAACCUUGGAUCUGACUGCCUCCAGGUUGGUAAUACUUCUACAGGUAGUCAUCAUCCUCAAUAACCCCUGCUGGCAUUCAUGUAAAGUAAGUGCCCAGGAGAAGCAAGGAUCUAGGUGUUUAAAUCCUGACAGUGAGAGAAUGUUCUAAUUUCAUUCUUUUCCAUGUAGCUGUCCAGUUUUCCCAGCACCACUUAUUAAAGACAUUGUCUUUUCUCCAUUGUGUAUUCUUGCCUGCUUUGUUGUAGAUCAACUGACCAUAGGUGUGAGGGUUUAUUUCUGGGCUCUGUCCUCUCUUCCAUUGAUCUUUGUGCCUGUUUUCAUGCGAAUACCAUACUGCUUUGAUUACUGUAGCUUUGUAGUAUAGUCUGAAGUCUGGGAGGAUUAUGCCUCCAGCUUUGUUCUUUUCCCUCAGGAUUGCUUCGGCAAUUCUGGGUCUUUUGUGGUUCCAUAUGAAUUUUAGGGUUAUUUGUUCUAGUUCUGUGAAAAAAUGUCAUGGGUAAUUUGGUAGGGAUUGAGUUAAAUCUGUAGAUUGCUUUGGGUAGUAUGUCCAUUUUAACUAUAUUAAUUCUUCCAAUCCAAGAGCAUGCGAUAUCUUUCCAUUUCUUUGAAUCAGCUUCAGUUUCCUUUAUCAGUGUUUCAUAGUGCUCAACAUAUGUCUUUCACCUCCUUUCCUUUAUUUUCAAUCAUUCAGCAUCACUUUAAGUAUACAGCAUACUACAUACACUUGGAUCUUGCUUUCUAAGGAGUAUUGCCAAAAAGAAAACAAUUUAAUGCAUGAGUUAAGCCUGCAUACACUGUAAAAUCCUAAGAGUUUCGCACUGAUAGAAUUUUGUUUUAAAACAAACUGAUAACUAUGGGGUAAAUCCAAACAAGGAUCCCUGGGUGAAACAACAAUCAUGAAGCAAUUCCUGCCUCAUCAUCGUCAUGCAGCCGUGAGUGCUGGUGACCCCUCUUGCAGGUGCUGGUCGCCCCCCAGCCUCAAACAGACGUUCCUCCUCCCCAGCCAAACCAUCCGGGCAAGUUUCACUGCCUCUGCCUGAUGAGGAGUUGGUGGGAAAUGCUCCCCCAUCUCCACCGCCACCACGUUAAUACUUGUUCAGUCUUUUUCGCUGCACGCAUGUGGUGUCUCCUAUUUGCUGAUCAGGCAUUGAUCCCCUCCUUUUGCUCUGCAGGCAUCCAUUUUUUAUUUUUCAGGGCGUCUAGGGUGAUGGGAUAGCAGGGCCAGGAGGGGUCGGGAUGACCCACCAGGACCUGCUAGUUUCCAGGAAAGAAUGGAUCGGCAGAAGGGCUACACAGCCAGUCGGUGGCUGGUGACGUCCUGUUAGAGGUUCAGCCCAUUUAAUUAAAGGGAAACGGCGUCGUGAAGCCCAAACCUGCAGGGUAGGUGUCUGCAGACUCUGAAUGAAUGAACGGGCAGAUGAAUGACUGAAGUGUCCCAGCUGGAAGGGAACACUGAGCCCUGGAGCUCAUCUGAGCAGAGGACCGGCUUCUACAGGCAUGUGUUUUAUUAACACGGAGAAGAGGCGAAGUCCCAUCGUGAUCUAGUAACUUCACAAGCAGCUCAGAUGCAACCUGACAAGAGUUUCUGCUGUGGCCGAAGGGGCGGGUUCUGGGGUCCGCAGGCAAAUCCACCGAGGGCCUCGCCGAGGUGCUCACUGACCUGUCAGGAUCAGGCCAGGAAACCGUGCCAGAGAGAGAUCCUGUGGUCACGGAAGAACUGGACUGGAAAAACAGGGGCGAACAAGUUAAAGGAAUACUCCUCCGUGUUCACUGAAGGCAAAGGGCAAAGAAAAGGUCUGGCAGAAACAGAGGGAAGAUCAGACAACAGCACGGCUAUAGCUGGAGAGGAACCCGUCUCCGUGCUGGGGGUUAGGACACAGCUGGUCCCUUCAGCCCCGCCUGGUGGGCUGACACCUUUCCACGGGAAGCGGGGCUCCACCAGGCCAGUGGUUUCCAAGCCACUGAGUGGGUCCUGGAAUCAAUUCAUUGGGUUGGCACCA